RNAcentral lists this transfer RNA (32 nucleotides) under Salmo salar (Atlantic salmon). RNAcentral's name for it is "partial tRNA-Ile". The record is from RNAcentral. Lineage: Eukaryota; Metazoa; Chordata; Actinopteri; Salmoniformes; Salmonidae.
GUGGCUGAUAGGGGUUCAAGUCCCCUCAAUUC